RNAcentral lists this ribosomal RNA (301 nucleotides) under uncultured bacterium. RNAcentral describes it as "partial 16S ribosomal RNA". It matches the Rfam family "Bacterial small subunit ribosomal RNA", at positions 509 to 807 of the family's 1533-position model. The record is from RNAcentral.
CAGUAGCCGCGGUAAUACGAAGGGGGCUAGCGUUGUUCGGAUUAACUGGGCGUAAAGCGUGCGUAGGCGGUGAGUUAAGUCUGCUGUGAAAUCCCCGGGCUCAACCUGGGAACUGCAUUUGUGACUGGCGAGCUAGAGUAUGGCAGAGGGGGGUAGAAUUCCACGUGUAGCAGUGAAAUGCGUAGAUAUGCGGAGGAACAUCAGUGGCGAAGGCGGCCAUCUGGGACAACACUGACGCUGAGGCACGAAAGCGUGGGGAGCAAACAGGAUUAGAUACCCCAGUAGUCCCUGUCUCUUAUAC